GUGGCGCACGGCUGAGUAACACGUGGAACCCGCCCCCCGGUGGGGGAUAACGMGACGAAAGUGCUAAUCCCGCAUACGUCCGCUAGGGGAAAGCGCUUCGGCGCGCCGGGGGAGGGGCCUGCGGCCCAUCAGGUCGUUGGUGGGGUAACGGCCUACCAAGCCGAUGACGGGUAGCUGGUCUGGGAGGAUGACCAGCCAGACUGGGACUGAGACACGGCCAGACUCCUACGGGAGGCAGCAGCAGGGAAUUUUCGGCAAUGGGCGCAAGCCUGACCGAGCAACGCGCGUGCUGGAUGACGGCCUUCUGGUUGUAAACUGCUUUUUCGGGGGGACGAUGAUGACGGUACCCCCGGAACAAGCCCCGGCUAACUCUGUGCCAGCAGCCGCGGUAAGACAGAGGGGGCGAGCGUUGUCCGGAGUCACUGGGCGUAAAGCGCGCGCAGGCGGUCGCAAAGUGUCGUGUGAAAGCCCCCGGCUCAACCGGGGGAGGCCAUGGCAAACUCUGGCGACUGGAGCGGCGGAGAGGCCCCUCGAAUUGCCGGUGUAGCGGUGAAAUGCGUAGAGAUCGGCAGGAAGACCAAGGGGGAAGCCAGGGGGCUGGCCGCUGGCUGACGCUGGGGCGCGACAGCGUGGGGAGCGAACCGGAUUAGAUACCCGGGUAGUCCACGCCGUAAACAAUGACCACUCGGCGUGCGGCGACUAUUGACGUCGCGGUGCGCCUUAGCUCACGCGCUAAGUGGUCCGCCUGGGAACUACGAGCGCAAGCUUAAAACUCAAAGGAAUUGACGGGGGCCCGCACAAGCAGCGGAGCGUGUGGUUUAAUUCGAGGCAACCCGAAGAACCUUACCCAGGCUUGACAUGACGGUGCAGAGCGCGGCAACGCCGACGCCUGCGAGGGUCCGU
RNAcentral lists this ribosomal RNA (903 nucleotides) under uncultured Chloroflexaceae bacterium. RNAcentral's name for it is "bacterial SSU rRNA". It matches the Rfam family "Bacterial small subunit ribosomal RNA", at positions 95 to 1031 of the family's 1533-position model. Lineage: Bacteria; Bacillati; Chloroflexota; Chloroflexia; Chloroflexales; Chloroflexaceae. The record is from RNAcentral.